AGAGUUUGAUCAUGGCUCAGAGUGAACGCUGGCGGCAGGCCUAAUACAUGCAAGUCGAACGGCAGCACAGCAGAGCUUGCUCUGUGGGUGGCGAGUGGCGGACGGGUGAGGAAUACAUGGGAAUCUGCCCAGUCGUGGGGGAUAACGUAGGGAAACUUACGCUAAUACCGCAUGCGCCCUUCGGGGGAAAGCCGGGGACCGUAAGGGCCUGGCGCGAUUGGAUGAGCCCAUGUCGGAUUAGCUAGUUGGCGGGGUAAAGGCCCACCAAGGCGACGAUCCGUAGCUGGUCUGAGAGGAUGAUCAGCCACACUGGAACUGAGACACGGUCCAGACUCCUACGGGAGGCAGCAGUAGGGAAUAUUGGACAAUGGGCGCAAGCCUGAUCCAGCCAUGCCGCGUGAGUGAAGAAGGCCCUCGGGUUAUAAAGCUCUUUUGUCCGGAAAGGAAAGCGCCGGGUUAAUACCCUGGUGUCCUGACGGUACCGGAAGAAUAAGCACCGGCUAACUUCGUG
This 511-nucleotide ribosomal RNA is filed under the name uncultured bacterium. Its description in RNAcentral is "bacterial SSU rRNA". It matches the Rfam family "Bacterial small subunit ribosomal RNA", at positions 8 to 507 of the family's 1533-position model. The record is from RNAcentral.